CAUUUAGGCAAGAUUGCAACAACAUGAUUGGUUUAGGGGCUUGGUUUCAAAUGUUUCAGUUGGGUCCGAAUAAAAUUUAUCCGGAUCACACCUUGGUAAAAAGGUUAUUUAUAAUUUUUUAACAUGUUCAUCUGAACACAAAAAUAAAUAAAAGCAAUGUUUUAUUGAAAGGGAGUGUGACAUGAAAAAUUAUAACCAAGUUUAAUUAUUUGGGUAUUACUCAGCUUAAACGAUUUUACAUAAAAAGUCGUCUUUGCUGAGAUAUUUGACUAUAAUCAGUAACAAGCAGAGAAAUAAAUUCCGG
This 304-nucleotide unclassified non-coding RNA is filed under the name uncultured fungus. RNAcentral describes it as "partial contains 5.8S rRNA and ITS2". Lineage: Eukaryota; Fungi. The record is from RNAcentral.